This 149-nucleotide ribosomal RNA is filed under the name Fulgeochlizus bruchi. Its description in RNAcentral is "partial 12S ribosomal RNA". The record is from RNAcentral. Lineage: Eukaryota; Metazoa; Arthropoda; Insecta; Coleoptera; Elateridae.
UGGGGGUUACUUUAAAAUUUAUAGUUAUAAUUUUGGUGUAAUGUGUUAUUCCUAUAUUUGUUAUUUGGGGUUAAUUUCUUUCUGUUAUUGAACCAAAGUUUUAUCUUUACUUGAAAUUUUAGUUUUCAUAUUUUUUUACAUGUUUGUAC